CAUAACAGAUCCAAUGUUAGUGAACUUCGAGGAUACUGUGAUCUUCUUCCUCGUUCGCUCGAGAGGGGGCAUUGCCUGGAGAAGGGUCUCGGAUCGUUCUGAAGUAGUUGCAGUAGCGAGCAGAGUGUUGCUGAAGCGAGAAGCGGCUCGAGGAGGAGACGAGCUCAUUCAGCUUGCUCCACCUCGCCUUCAGCGUCCUGUGACCGAACUCGAAGAUGUCACCUUUUCCUCCCUUCUCCGCUAUCAUGGCCUUGAUCAGCUUCAGGACUCUCAGGUGGGUGUCGCGAGAGACGCCCAUGGUGUUCAACGACAAGUA
Molecule: long non-coding RNA, 316 nt
Filed under: Musa acuminata (dwarf banana)
Lineage: Eukaryota; Viridiplantae; Streptophyta; Magnoliopsida; Zingiberales; Musaceae
Description: long non-coding RNA (MACU_LNC001678)
Source: RNAcentral